AGCGCACAGCUCUGCAUCCAAUGCCUCCCCAGCCCUUUCAUUUCUGUAGAAUAAUGAACCUACAGAAGAUUCCGAGUUUUCCCUCUGGUUUAACGACCCUAGCCCUGCCUGUUGCUGGCGUGCCCCAUCCCUGCAGCUAGCCAGAGAAAUAAUGAUAAUUUACGCCCAGCUCGCGCCGGCUUUUCCCGGCGUUUCUGCGAGCAAUCCAGAGGCGACAGGAGCAAAUUGAUGGAGACAGGACUGGGAGAAUCCCACCCUGUCAGAAGAUGAAUGAGCUGAGCUUGCAUGAUGUGAACCAUGGCUGACAGAAGCGAGGGGGAAUCAAAGAGUGAGCAACUUUUGACAACGCACGCUUCACAGCCCUGACCACUGAGGAUCUACAUGAUUAUCUCCAGACAAAAUAACUGCUACAGCAAAGACACACGUUCCAAGCAGCCAGCCCAAGGUUAGCAAGCACUGAGUGAGCACAGCCCCUCAGAACCACAGACCUUCACCUUGAUGCCUCCCAGGUCCUCGGGCUGAUACUUUGAUGGGAUGGAGGCUCAAGUUCAAAUGGACAUUCUGGCCUUUCUGUAGCUAAUAAUGGAAAACAAAGCCCUUUUCUCAGCUAUCUCAGCUCUCAACUCGACCCUGCCCUCAGUGUAGACACUAAUCAGCUCAGAGAAUCUCUGUUCUUUUAUUUAUAUAAAAUUUCAGGGGGAAAAAAAAAUCUCAUCCAGGAACAAAUUGUGUUUCCCAAAUUACACUCCUGGCCUUCAGACUUGGCAUGGGACUAACUCUUCCAUUUUUGGGGGAUCUUAAUCAGUUCUUCCUCUACUUCUGUCUGCUGAAACAAGACUUCUAAGAAAGAGAAUAAGAUGUAAAUCUACUGCCAUCAACUUUGUGUUAUUUCAAAGCUCUAAGAAGAAAACCACCUGGUAUUUUUCUUCAGCCCCUCUAUAUGCAUAUGCAAAUCCAACAGCUUCAGGAUCUGCCAAACUAUUUACCAAGUUUGUCAGGGAAACAGCCUCCGAAACAAUCUUCUUUCAAAAUAAUUUUCUGUGAUUCUAAAUUCUUCCUCUGAACGCUAUUUUUGUCUCUGAAAGCAUAUUCACCCUUGCAGUCUGACUGCUUGUUAAGGAAAAAACAACAAGAAAAACACUGAAAUCUCACUGUUGGCCUAUGUUCUACUGCCAGUGUUCAAACAUCAGGAUCCCAACAGUAUCCCAGCGCCUGAAAAACAUCUCCCUCUCUUUGAAAUCUGCCUGGGUUGUGGAUGAGAAAUUGCCAGUAGAAAUUACAACAUUUGCCAUGACUGAGAUGGGGUGGGUUUUUGCAUUUGGAUUGAAUGAAACCAUGGAAAAUGUUGUUAGUAACAACUCCAGUGUUAUAAAAAAUCACCAAGUGACAGAUUUCGAGAUUAAAAGGAAAUAUUAAAAAUCCCCUUCAAUAUUUAAAGCUUACUUAACUAGUAGCACUUCACUUGACACUGACUCAUGUCAUUUUCUUUCAUUCCUCUUUUGAUCCAUGCAAAGCAGUUACACGAUUGCAAAUAUCUUAUCAUGUCACCUUCUCAUAUGGAUAUGAGAUGAAAGAAUAUUAUCUCAAGCUGAGUGAUAAGUCCUGUACCAAAACUACGGGUGGAAUCUGCACAAUCUGAUGCUAAAUGGGAGCAGGGGGAGCACUGGGCAUUUUUUUUUUUCCCUGAUAUUCUCUGUUGAGGAUAGUUGAGAGAAAGGGUCUUAUUUUAAUAGGUUAUUCAAGGCUCCUAAUUAACCAUUGAGAUUUUACACCAGGUUAGCUGAGCUUCUUGUCAAGGCACAGGGAUCACUCAAAUUGCUUUUAUUUGCAUGAUUACGAAGUGGCAAACCAUCAAUACUCCUUCACCUCUGAUUUUAAACAUGCAAAGGGCAUCAAAAGGCCUAUUAACAUGAAAUAAAAUUAGCCCUCAUCUGUUUUAUUUUAAAGGGACUCUUCCCUCCCCCUUUUUCUCCCCCUCCUCCUCCUUCCUUUCUUAUUUAGGGAACUGGGUUCCUUUCCCAUACUUGGUAUGUAGUACAUCUUUUUUUCUCAGAGUUAAUUCUCCAAGUCUGGUCUGUCAGCCAGUAUAAACAACACUUGAUGAAUGAGACUCAAGGUGUUUAGUCACCUGAAGCAGCUGUUUGAAGUAACUCUACACACAGCCUGAGGCCCGUGUUUUCACAGCUGUGGGAACUCUUCAAAAGCUUUUCCUCUUGGCCUGCUCCUUUGCUGUGGCUUUAGACUCUUAGCGCAAAAUCUGGACAAUUUCAAAAGGGCACAAUGAAACUAGAGACAGCAAUUUUUGAUGAUUUUGGGCCAAAAAAAGGGCCUAGAAUAAAUAAAUGAAGUACAUUUGAAAGUGCUUUACCUAGGUGGGCUAUAUAUCUAAGAACUGCUCGCUCUACAUGUGCCCAUGUGCUCACUUAUAAAGGGGACAUGGGGGGGUUCAAGCCCCGCUCUCUGUUUACAACUAUUUUCACUUUCUCCUCUGAUGCGGCAGAUUAAAAACUAAAUGUUUAUGGGCCUGGAAAAGCGCAUACCUGAAAUAAACUCAGCAAGUUUCUCAAAGUUGGAAAGCUCUCCUAACUCAUAAACAGACCUGCAGUUGAUUGGUGAUCUGUGCUCGCCGCUGGGAAGCUUUGGAGAAUUGGCCUCGUGGAGGUCGUGUGAUUGCUUCUCCUGGCUCCGGGGCUGCGCCUUCAUGAUGUGCCUCACUGUGUCCGUGUAGGUAGCCAAAGAAGUGAUGGGCCCAAAUAAAAAAUAAUAAUAAACCAAAAAUUGAGCAAGAAUUGGCGCUGAGCUGGCAGGGAAAUCGCAGUUUUGUGAACUCAGGACCCGAUCGCGCAGCUGGGCUGAAAUAUUAUAUGCGGAAUGAGGUCAUGGACCAGAAAAUGGAUUUUAUUUGGAGGUGGGAGUGGACUGCAAGCCUCAAAGAGUGGUGAUGAAUCCGCUGGAAAAUCCUGAGGGCUAAAUGGCCGGGUUGUACCUCCCCUGGAUGGACACAUAGAUCUUCAUGGGUUCAGGCAGGUAUUGCUCAGCUCCAUGAGUAACAGUGGGGCCACCACACCAGCACCACAAGGUGAGCAGCGAGCAUCCCAUGGGAAAUGGACAUGGAAAAUAACUCCAGCAGAGCACUGACGUGAGCCCCAGGAAGGGAUGUGAGUCGACAGAUUUUAUCGGGGAGGUUGUGUCAGGUGGAUGCUUAACCCACUGAAUAACGCUUUCCACUCCUGAGCUCACCCAAACAAGGAAACACGGAUACAUCCAACCUCAGCUCUCAAACGUGUCCAACAAAAGGCAUCAGGAAGCUCGCCAGGAAGAGUGAGGAUGGGACAAACUACUCCUGAGACAGUAGAACAAACAUGCUCCAGCCGUAGCUGUUUUAGCACCACAUGCCUCCCACACAUUGCUCCAUAAAUCCUUCUUUUCUUGCCUCUCAUUUUCUCCAGUUUACAAAAAUUCUCAUGUUAACAGAAAACGUUUAGUUUAAAUUGAUCCUCAGCCAUCCUUGGCAUGUAUUACACACGCUCACUCUUUUAUGUUUUAUAGCUUAUGUCAUCCUGUAUUCAUCAUUUAGUGAAGGCCUUAUAUUUUUGGCUUGCCGUUGCCCCUUAUCAGAUGAUAAAAUGUUCCCUCAGGAGGGAGAGAAUUUUUAUGAAUUAUGACGAUAGUAUAGAAAAUAAAUUACUUAUUGGCACUACAGUCAGACUAUACAUGGAAAUGUGUUCUUCGAAAGUUUAGAGAAUCAGAGUAUCACAGAAUCCUGGAAUGGCUUGGCUUGGAAAGGACCUCAAGGACCACCAAGUUCCAAUCUCCUGCCGUGGUCUACAUGAGAAAGGUGAGCGUGCCAACACUGUCACUACUCCCAGGGAAGGGAAUUCCCUGAGGUGAGAGUGGCCAUGGGGUGACAAGGAUGGUGUUUCUGCCAGGUCACUGGUUUAGGAUGAGCCCUGGGGACGAGCUCUCCUGGGGUCUCAGCACAAAACUGCCAGUUCCCUCAUGAUUUUCAGUUUUCUGCAUCAGAGGUGAUGGAGUUUCCAGCUACUUUGAGAAUAGCGAGGCAUAAACAUUUACAAAAUAGAUAAUGAGAAUUUGAACAAAAAUAAGACUUUAAAAUAUAUUCUAUGGCAUUGCCCACACCUGGAUGCCCACAGAUCCCUGUGUUUUUUUAUGAUAUGAAGGUUAGAUGGUCCAAACUACAUCCUGGUCAUUGAGUUCACCCUUCUAAUUUGCUCCCACCCCAUCCUCACUCCUGACCUACCCCGAGAGGUUUCGAACAGCCAGCACCAAAGCACAUCUUGUACUACCAGAGACACAGCUGGGCUGGUCCCUUCUCUGCAAAAACAUGACAUAAAUUCUGACACUGGUCACCAUACAUGUCAACAGAGUCAAACUUUGCUAAUGAACCACUGCAAAAUUCCAAAUAAAUAGACAAACCCGCAGCUGAGCAGCAUAUUGUAACUCUUCCCACCAUGCACACAUAACAAUUAUCCUCAGAGAGGCUUGCUGUCCUUCUCAUCAGCAGCAAAUUAAAGAAGAAGAAAAGUUUUAGGUAGUUGAAGAUGUUUGGUUAAUCUUAACUAGAAAAGCAUUUACACUGCCAGAGCCUGGAACUACAAAGAACAGCCCACGAGCAGCCAGGGGAGUGUUCUCCUCAGGCAGGUACUCCAAGACAGAAAAUGGCUUAAUUUAACUUUUUAGGUAAAUUCUGUUCAGAUGAGUGAGGAUUCCCCGGCAGCAUCUGUGCAAGGCCACUCACUUCUACUCAUCUCCCAGUUAGAACCAGUUCUGCCUUUUGAUUUUGCUCUUUGAAAAGCAGUUUCUCAACCCUGGCCUAAUAAACAACCAGUGACUCCCAACGCAGAUUCGGGGUUUUGUCAGAGCCAUGGGGCUCUCAGGGGGACAUUCCUGGACAGCACCACAGCCAAGGAGGAUGCCACCUUCACCAUAUGGACUUCUCUUGACCAUGAUCUCUGAGUCCCUUGGCCAGCCAGCCCAAGGGCUGAGCCACCUUUUGAGUUGGAAUAGCUUUUAAGGGAUAUAGAGCUCCAAGGCUUAUUUUUUUCAAGGGAAGCUAAAUAUUUCAUACAAGCUGAACAGCAGAACCCUAAGCCCCAUAUGAACAGUAAGGUAAACAUUCCCUGGAGCAUUUUAUGAGUUCCUUCUCACCACAAAUGGCAGCAUUUUGCAACGCCAUCUAAGUGAAAUACAUUCAACAGGUCACCUAUGCAGCGUGAUGACUCUGGGAUCCAUUUGCUGUGACAGAGCUGUGCCCUUCCAACCUCGUCAGCUGGAUCAUUUUUGAGGUGAUUUUAUAGAGUUUUUAGAUGAAAAGAAUGAAAUCUGGGAGGACUGGCUUUAAAGCAAUAAUAUACUUUUGUUAUGCAAUAUUAUACCUCCAUUAGCCAAUAUUCAAAAUAGUUGAAUGCAUAGGUAAUGGCAACUAUAUAUAGAAAUGGUAUUUUGUCUUUAAAGAAGUGAAACCCAUUAAACUUUAUGUGAUGAGAUGUUAAAGUAAGAAUUGUUAAGAGAACCUUACUCCACAUAUGCAUGUAAAUGGCUUUAUGGGGAUAUCCUGUUGGAGAUGAUGGGUUCCUUAUGAGCAACAGCUCCUGAGCAAAAGGUUCCCUAUCCUGUAAACACAAAAAUGUGAGACACAGCUGGGAAGUUUGCCUACAGGCAAGGUUUCAGGUGAGUAAAAGGAGCAGCCAAAGUUUGAGGAAGAGAAUUCAGGAAG
This is a non-coding RNA of Zonotrichia albicollis (white-throated sparrow), 5737 nucleotides long. NCBI's taxonomy places the organism in Eukaryota, Metazoa, Chordata, Aves, Passeriformes, Passerellidae. The record is from RefSeq and is a predicted model, not a curated record.